This 69-nucleotide transfer RNA is filed under the name Pholoe pallida. RNAcentral's name for it is "tRNA-Ser". Lineage: Eukaryota; Metazoa; Annelida; Polychaeta; Phyllodocida; Pholoidae. The record is from RNAcentral.
UAGUAGAUCAUGGUUGAAUUAACCCGCUUCUAACGCGUUAUUGAGAGGUUCGACUCCUUUCAUUACUAA